This 462-nucleotide ribosomal RNA is filed under the name uncultured bacterium. RNAcentral describes it as "bacterial SSU rRNA". It matches the Rfam family "Bacterial small subunit ribosomal RNA", at positions 28 to 507 of the family's 1533-position model. The record is from RNAcentral.
GAUGAACGCUAGCGGCAGGCUUAACACAUGCAAGUCGAGGGGCAGCAUAAUGAAGUAGCAAUACGGAAUUGAUGGCGACCGGCGCACGGGUGCGUAACGCGUAUGCAACCUACCCAUAACAGGGGGAUAACACUGAGAAAUUGGUACUAAUACCCCAUAACAGUUUUCCGGCCGCGGAUGAGGAUGCGUAUGAUUAGGUAGUAGGCGGGGUAACGGCCCACCUAGCCUUCGAUCAUUAGGGGUUCUGAGAGGAAGGUCCCCCACACUGGAACUGAGACACGGUCCAGACUCCUACGGGAGGCAGCAGUGAGGAAUAUUGGUCAAUGGGCGAGAGCCUGAACCAGCCAAGUAGCGUGAAGGAAGACUGCCCUAUGGGUUGUAAACUUCUUUUGUUUGGGAAUAAAAUGAUACUACGUGUAGUAUUUUGCAUGUACCUUACGAUAAGCAUCGGCUAAUUCCGUG